GAAGCUGAGAAAUCCCCGCAUCCCUGCUCUCCCCCCUCGCCAACCCCGCCUGCGCGCACCGAUGCUAGCAAAGCCUCUCCAACCCCCGGGUGGGAGCUGCGCUGGCUCUGGGUGCUGUGGGGAGAGGGGCAGGGUCUGUCUGUGCCCCCCGCAGGCCUGCCCAGCACCUCGGCAGCUCCAGGACCCCAUGCCCAUGCUUGUUUACUUCAAACAUCUGCGCUGGAACACUUGGACGCGGCGCUGCACGCCGUGCAGCAUCCUGGCAUGCCCACCGAUGGAGGAUUGGCAGCAUAUGGGCGGCUGAACAACGGCGCUGUGCAUUUACACACGCACCACAAAUAAAGCAGGUGACUCUGGAAGGCUUCGGCUCCCUCCCUCCCUCCCCGUGCAGGGAGCCCUGGGCACGCCAGCACAGCCUGGCAGCGAAAUUCCUGGAGACGGCACCGGGAGGGGAAAAACCACGGGGAGAGCUGCCCAAGCUGCGCCCCUCGCCUCGCUCUGCCCCUUCCCGGCGGGGCCGAGCUCUGCCCUGCAGCUUCGCCCGCUCCUGGAGGCUGCUGGCCCCAGCGGGAGCCUCUCCUCCUCCUCCUCCUCCUCACCCCACCGAUCCAGGCUCCACCUCGCCCAACUUUUCCUUACGUUUUCCCUUCACCUGGAGGGUGUGAUUUUAAUUAGCGCAACAUCCCCGCUAACAACAGCAGCUAAUGAAGCCAUCCGCUACGCACCCGUAACGCAAAACUUAACGAGAAGUUGUGCCGAGGCUUCCUCCGCGGGCACCGGGCAGGGCUGCAGCCGCCAACUCCGGCAGCCGCCGCCGGGAACGCCGCGCCGAGCAGCGCCCGGCCCCGAGCACCGGGAAGGCGCCGCACCCCCGAGGGGAAACCUCCCCCCGGCGGCCCCGGGCACGGCGAUGCCGCGCUGCACCCCCCCGGUACCCCCAGCCCCGCGGGGCUCCCCCAAAUCCCAACCCCGACGGCCCCGGGGACGCCCCGACGGAGCUUCCCCGCCGCCCCCGGCGCAGCACCGGGGCGAGCCGCCCCC
Molecule: long non-coding RNA, 1041 nt
Filed under: Anas platyrhynchos platyrhynchos (common mallard)
Lineage: Eukaryota; Metazoa; Chordata; Aves; Anseriformes; Anatidae
Description: lncRNA (ENSAPLG00000028554.1)
Source: RNAcentral